GUUUGACGUUAGCAACAGAAGAAGCACCGGCUAACUCCGUGCCAGCAGCCGCGGUAAUACGGAGGGUGCGAGCGUUAAUCGGAAUUACUGGGCGUAAAGCGCAUGCAGGCGGUCUGUUAAGCAAGAUGUGAAAGCCCGGGGCUCAACCUCGGAACAGCAUUUUGAACUGGCAGACUAGAGUCUUGUAGAGGGGGGUAGAAUUUCAGGUGUAGCGGUGAAAUGCGUAGAGAUCUGAAGGAAUACCGGUGGCGAAGGCGGCCCCCUGGACAAAGACUGACGCUCAGAUGCGAAAGCGUGGGGAGCAAACAGGAUUAGAUACCCUGGUAGUCCACGCCGUAAACGAUGUCUACUUGAAGGUUGUGGCCUUGAGCCGUGGCUUUCGGAGCUAACGCGUUAAGUAGACCGCCUGGGGAGUACGGUCGCAAGAUUAAAACUCAAAUGAAUUGACGGGGGCCCGCACAAGCGGUGGAGCAUGUGGUUUAAUUCGAUGCAACGCGAAGAACCUUACCUACUCUUGACAUCCAGAGAAUUCGCUAGAGAUAGCUUAGUGCCUUCGGGAACUCUGAGACAGGUGCUGCAUGGCUGUCGUCAGCUCGUGUUGUGAAAUGUUGGGUUAAGUCCCGCAACGAGCGCAACCCUUAUCCUUGUUUGCCAGCAC
RNAcentral lists this ribosomal RNA (658 nucleotides) under Photobacterium aquimaris. RNAcentral's name for it is "bacterial SSU rRNA". It matches the Rfam family "Bacterial small subunit ribosomal RNA", at positions 467 to 1124 of the family's 1533-position model. Lineage: Bacteria; Pseudomonadati; Pseudomonadota; Gammaproteobacteria; Vibrionales; Vibrionaceae. The record is from RNAcentral.